RNAcentral lists this ribosomal RNA (301 nucleotides) under uncultured bacterium. Its description in RNAcentral is "partial 16S ribosomal RNA". It matches the Rfam family "Bacterial small subunit ribosomal RNA", at positions 509 to 807 of the family's 1533-position model. The record is from RNAcentral.
CAGUAGCCACGGUAACACCGAGGGUGCAAGCGUUAAUCGGAAUUGCUGGGCGUAAAGCGCGCGUAGGUGGUUUGUUAAGUUGGAUGUGAAAGCCCCGGGCUCAACCUGGGAACUGCAUCCAAAACUGGCAAGCUAGAGUACGGUAGAGGGUGGUGGAAUUUCCUGUGUAGCGGUGAAAUGCGUAGAUAUAGGAAGGAACACCAGUGGCGAAGGCGACCACCUGGACUGAUACUGACACUGAGGUGCUAAAGCGUGGGGAGCAAACAGGAUUAGAUACCCCAGUAGUCCCUGUCUCUUAUAC